Molecule: ribosomal RNA, 280 nt
Filed under: uncultured bacterium
Lineage: Bacteria
Description: partial 16S ribosomal RNA
Rfam family: Bacterial small subunit ribosomal RNA
Source: RNAcentral
UCCUACGGGAGGCAGCAGUGGGGAAUCUUCCGCAAUGGGCGAAAGCCUGACGGAGCAACGCCGCGUGAUCGAAUGAAGGCCUUCGGGUUGUAAAGAUCUGUUGACAGGGACGGAUAAGCAAUGCGAAUAGUUUUGUGUAUGACGGUACCUGUUUAGAAAGCUCCGGCUAACUACGUGCCAGCAGCCGCGGUAAUACGUAGGGAGCAAGCGUUGUCCGGAAUUACUGGGCGUAAAGGGUGCGUAGGCGGCCUGCUAAGUCUGGAGUGAAAGGUACCGGCUC